RNAcentral lists this transfer RNA (77 nucleotides) under Holosporales bacterium. Its description in RNAcentral is "tRNA-Arg". It matches the Rfam family "tRNA". From Rfam's summary of the family: Transfer RNA (tRNA) molecules are approximately 80 nucleotides in length. Their secondary structure includes four short double-helical elements and three loops (D, anti-codon, and T loops). Lineage: Bacteria; Pseudomonadati; Pseudomonadota; Alphaproteobacteria; Holosporales. The record is from RNAcentral.
GUGCCCGUAGCUCAAUUGGAUAGAGCGCCAGACUACGGAUCUGGAGGUUAGGGGUUCAAAUCCUCUCGGGCGCGCCA